CCCACUCCUACAUGCCUAAGCCAAUGAACACUAAUGCUCUUCCUCUCUUUUUCUCCCUUUCGCUGCCCCCUAUUUUGAAGAGAAAGAAGAAGAGAGAGUCGCUCCUUCGUACCUCUCUCUCUUCUCUUUUCUCUCUCUCAUCUCUCCCUUCCUUUUUCUCUGUUCUUUCUCUAAUUGGAUCUAGGGAUCCAUGGAAGAUGAAGUAGGGGAUUUGAUAUUAAACUC
RNAcentral lists this long non-coding RNA (225 nucleotides) under Elaeis guineensis (African oil palm). RNAcentral's name for it is "long non-coding RNA (EGUI_LNC016469)". The record is from RNAcentral. Lineage: Eukaryota; Viridiplantae; Streptophyta; Magnoliopsida; Arecales; Arecaceae.